RNAcentral lists this ribosomal RNA (69 nucleotides) under uncultured bacterium. RNAcentral's name for it is "partial 16S ribosomal RNA". The record is from RNAcentral.
CGUACCGGAAGUCGGUGCGCCAACCCGCAAGGGAGGUAGCCGCCUAUGGUAUGACUGGUGACUGGGGUG